Molecule: long non-coding RNA, 7060 nt
Filed under: Sus scrofa (pig)
Lineage: Eukaryota; Metazoa; Chordata; Mammalia; Artiodactyla; Suidae
Description: lncRNA (ENSSSCG00055015669.1)
Source: RNAcentral
GAACCCGACUAAUAUCCACGAGGAUGCAGGUUUGAUCCCUGGCCUCGAUCAGUGGGUUAAAGAUCUGGCGUUGCCAUGAGCUGUGGUGUAGGUUGCAGAUGUGGCUUGGAUCCUAAGUUGCUAUGGCUGUGGUGUAGGCCGGCAGCUGCAGCUCUGGUUUGACCCCUAGCCUGGGAACCGCCAUGUGCUGUUGGUGUGGCCCUAAAAAGCAUAAAAAAAAAAAAAAGCUAGAACUCUUAUUUCUGGACUUCCAAUAUCCUUUUGGAGCUGAUUCUGCAGCAUACAGAAGUUCCCGGGCUAGGGGUUGAAUCAGAACUCCACCUGAGGCCUACGCCACAGCCACACAACACCGGAUCCGAGCUGCUGUGGCUGUGGCGUAGGCAGGCAGCUGUAGCUCCGAUUCCAUCCUGGCCUGACCUCCAUAGGCUGCAGCCUGUGGCAACACCGGGUCCUUAGCCCACUGAGUGCGGCCAGGGAUCUACCUCACAUGCUCACGGACACAGCGGGAAUGCCUCCGGUAUUAUCUUUCCUUAUCCUGUGUCCAUCCUUCUCCCAACAGCAAAAUCCCCCUGUCCUUGAACUCCAGAGUGGACAAGCUGGUUCCCGUGUGACUGGCUCCAACCGCUGUGUGGAGCUGGUCCCCAGUCGUGUAAUUGUUUGUUUAUUGUAUGUCUCUCCCCGGAGAGUUCCUCAAGGGCACAGACCCAGAUUUAUGCAUUUUUACAUCUCAGUAACUCUCACUGGCAUCUCGUAGGUAAUAGUUUAACCAAGCCUGGUUGAAUGAAGCAAGCGGCCAUGUAUUCCAGGGUGUUGAGUUACUAACUCUCUUGUUGGCGUCCUUUGGUGUGUUUCUAGAGUUACUUCCUGCAGCUCCCUUUUCUCCUUGAGAUAAAAAAAGAAGCCAGACCUCUCACCUUGCAAAAGGUUAGUCCUCUUCCUAAAGCCAUUUUUUUGUGAGCCCUUUUGAGAGGCUCGCAAAGUGUCCUCUAUCCCUGGGGAGGAUCCUAGGUGAGGGGUUGGCAGACAUCGCCGCAAACCAAGAGAACUUGCCCUUGACAUUGGAUGAAAAGAAGCAUUGUGUCCCUUUGCUUUUAAUUUCAAUCCCUGUCAUUGUCACUUGCCUGGCAGAGAACUGUGUAGACUGGGAAGGCUUGAUUUCCGCCUCCCCCCUACCCUGAACCCUUUGCAGCCAGAUAGAGUCUGUCUUUUCCCUCACUGUUUUUUUUUUUUUUUUUUUUUUCCCCAGCUUCGAUGUACUUGAAACAACCAUUUUGAAUACGGAAAGGGGCCGCAGCCUCGUUCCAGCAGCUAGCGGGGCAGAGCCGCUAUGCUGGCUGUGCUGUGCGAGUUGAUUGAAGCCUUUUUUAAGCCUCAGCAACAAGUGGCUACCUUCUCGGGUGAUGCUGUGAUACAAAUGCCAUCCACAAAGGCUACUUGUGGAGACUAGUAUCCCUUCUUUGGCUCAGAUUUCUCCAGAAAGUGGUCACAGGUUGAUGGGCUGGUGAAGCUUCUUUCUCCUUUCAGCCCAUCAGAUUUUUUUAAAUGCUCCCCAGCCCUGCUCCGAUUCCGUGUUUGAUAACCUCCAACGGUUAAAGGGAAGUAUUUGUCAUCUCAGCACCUGGUUUCAGGAACAAAGUACUCACCUCCCAGCCCAGGAAGCCGUUUCAAAAUAACCUUUGUUCAGGGAUCUGAAAGAGCUGAGUACUCCGCUGCCAGGACUGCCCCUGGCUGGGCAGGUGGGGGCAGAGAUUUCAGGUGAGCAGGGCUGCAGCCGUUGCCAUGGUGACUAUCAAUCAUUUGAUGAGAUCUGCUGGGAAGGGGGUGGGGGUGAGAAGCCACAGGAAAAUCUGCCUUUUAACAAUUCCUUAGCACCCAAUGCGGCUAUCAGGCUCAAGCCUUUGGAGAUAGUAAUUUGGGGGUACCUGAUUCUGGAAGCAGAGGGAAAGCUAUGCCGUCUAACUUCCUUUGAGAAAUGCAUCUAGUUGGUGAACCAGGAGCCUCGUAUCCUCUAGGCGCCCUCAGACCUAACGCUGAUUUUGUAUGAGAGUAUGCGGGGGCAGGGCUGCUCUUUACCAAAUCUGCCCUACUGGGCCCGAAUGUACGACUCGGUGGCUCCAAGGGAUGAUAAGGUUAGCUCUCCUGUGUUGAGGAGCUACUGUGUGCUGAAGGCUUUGCCCACAUCGUCUCCAUCAGCUCUUAAGACAGCUUUGUAAGGGAUGUUGUUAACUCUACUUCACAGACAAGGAAACAAAGGUCCAAAGAAUUGAAAAAACAACCUCUUUGAGGCCAGAGAGCAAAUAACUAUGGGAGCAGGGACUUCAUACCACCUGACUUCCCAUCAUGGAGCCUCUGGGGGUUGAUGAAGGAACGCGGGCUGUGCUGUGGCUAAUGGGCAGACACUGGGGGGCUGCUUCACCAGCAUCUGCUACGAGCCCUCUGCAGCCCUCAUCAACCUCUGGCCUCAAUGCUCUGCUGCCUUGCUAAAUUUGAGGCAGCUCCCCACCCCCCCGCCCCCAGAGGAGCCAGACUGCCCUGUCACACCUGGUAACACCUGGGGGUGGGGGGAGAGAUUUGGAAACUCAGGCAUUGGGCACCCCGGGCUCUGCCAAGGACCAGAUCCAUCAGUCUAAUCAGGUGACCUUAGAGUUUGGGCCCAGCUGGAUGUUGGCAGCACGGGACUCUGACUUUGCUAAAUGUUUUACAACAGAGCCACCACGAAAAGAACUGCCCGUUGGUUGUUAUUUUGGAUGCUCGAUUGAUGUGUAAGUCUAGAAACUCAGGCACUCUAGUUGACUGGGUUUGGGAGUUCUGCCUUGACUUGCGUGAGUGUCCAGCUGCUCUGCAGGAGUGACCAAGACCAUCACGGAGCUGUCAUGACCUCGUGAGGUUUGGGUUUCUUGACAUGGGCUUCUUUUUCCCAUGGGCAAGACUCCGGACUCCAAGGACAGGCUGGGGCCAGCCAGGGUCUGGUCCCCUUUCCCUGGGUCUCUGUCUGCUUAUGCCUCUUUCCAAGGCCUAAGUCCAGCCAUGUCCCAGGUCCUUAGGAAGGACUGUCUUAUAAGAAAGAGAAAGGAAAAACCAAAGGGCCUCUUGAUUCAUCCUCUCAUUAUAACGUCUAAGGUUAUCUCUGGCCAUAUGGAGCCUCUUUCUUUCUAGAGCCAAGAGACUCAAGUGGCUACUUGGAAAGAGGGGAUGUGGCAGUCUCGGUGGCACCAGAAAACCCGGGCUCUGCCAGAAGCGGGAGGGGAAGACACUGACUUCAGCAAAAUGGGGACAAGGACCUCCACGUUGCAAGAAGAAGGAACAAGGCACACUUGGCACCUGCCACCUGUUCACGUCUCCACAAGUGGUGGCGACUGUUGUUGGUAUUAUUAUGAUGUGACCGUCUCCCACUCUGUAAGUCCCUUCUAAACCCCUAGGUAGGCGUUCCAAGGGUUCAGUGUCAAUGUUUCCUCCUUGCUCACUUCAGCCAGAAAGGAGCUGUCUUUCUCUCCCUGCAGCUCUUGGCCAGUUUGGCCGCAGCAUCCAUCUGAUUCCUACCUUGUGACUGUAUUCGAACAGAGACUGGCUCUUACCUGCCUGAUGGAUGGAGGCUCACAGAGGCUAAGGGCCCAGGACCACAGGUUAGUGGGUGUGGAGCUGGGCUUUGAAGUCUGACCCAUAGUCCUUAUCCCUGGAAAAUGGGAAAAAACAGCAUUAGGGAAUUCACAAGAGAAGUUUUCUCAGGCUUUUGCUUAAGAGUGGGAACUAGCAGGUCUGGGCUGGCCCUAACCGGACACCAGGCUCCCAGCGUCCAGCACACAGCACAUUUAUAGAAAGUACCAGCUUGCCGUUUUCCUGAUCAGCGGGGACUGCACAGUAGGAUGGAAACGUGCCCUGGAGAUGUGGGCGUUGGAGCUCCUGAUAAAGGGGCUGGCGGUGGAGGAAGUGCUCAGAGGGUGCUGGGCGAGCAGGAAGUGGGAGCUGUUUCUAGCGCAGAGGAUGUGGCUCAAGACAAGGUAUGAGAAAUGAAAGUCAAGGAGGAAGUAGAAGUGGGAUCCGUAGGUGCCUUGAGGACAAGGAAGUGGCUUUGUUACCAAAGGUGGAAGGAGAAAUAGUCUUGUAAUGUCUGCAGGGGGAGGCGAUGGGACCUGCAGGUCGCCCUUUGCCUUGUGGAGAGUCUCGGCCAGCCCAGUGCUCAGAGAAGACACCCUGAAGGAGAAAUGUCCCUUCUUUUGUUUGUUUCAAUCUUGAAAAAUUUCUUCUUCUUCUUCAUCUUCUUUUGUUUUAAAGUAUAGUCGAGUUACAAUGUUAUGCUAGUUUCUGCUGCACAGCAAAGUGACCCAGUCAUACAGGUAUAUACAUUCUUCUCCCAUUAUCCUCCAGCACCUUCUACCACAAGGGAUUGGAUAGAGUUCCCUGUGUUGCACAGUAGGACCUCAUGUGUAUCCAUUCUACAUGGAAGAGUUUGCACCUACCACCCAGAAAACGCCCCGUCCAUCCCAUUCCCUCCCCCUCCCCCUUGGCAACCACAAGUCUGUUCUCCAUGUCUGCAAGUCUGUAGGAACUUAUCUAUAGAACAGAAAUGUCACUUCUGAAGGCAAUGGGACAUGGAGUUCAGAUGGGUUGUGUUGGCUGCCUUGGGCUUGACUUUUAGUUCUCUGGCCGGGUGGGCGGUCCCCAGGGAUGUGCCAGGUCCCUGGGAGCCACUCCAGGGAGGCAGCUCUGGUUUCCCUUGAGGCCAAGGUGGUUCGUAAAAAUCCACUAUGCAGGGAGCACUAACCAUGCCCUAGAGUUUACAGAUAUUAAACAAUGUCAUUCUCACAUUAAUUCCACGAAGUGGGCAAAUGCUAUUACUUAUAUUUUACAGAGAUGAGGCAGCUGGGAGUCGCCAUAUCUAGGUCAUUCGUCCCAGAGUAGAGGUGUUCUGGCAAGUUGAUUGCAACCAGAUCUCUGUGGCCAGAAUCAGUAUUCUUUCUGCCAAGCUGCUUGUUCCCAUAAAGGUCUACCUUAGAAAAAUUUCUCCCCUGUGUAUCAACAAGGAGCAUCAUCAGAGGCGAUUUUCGGGUUAAGGGUCCUUCUGAAAAUUAGAUGAAAGCUAGGACAUAAGAGCACAUAUGCUUUUCAAUUUGGGGGAUUGAAGAGCCUCUGAAGUGUAUCUAUAUGCAUCUGAAUGUCUACAGACCCAUUUCAGAAACUCCUGAGAUAAGGAAAAGGAAAGAAGUCAGAGAAGAAAGAAGCCUCAACGGAAACAGAAUUAAAAGUUGAAUUGUCAGCACAAUCUCAACCUUCUGAAUGUGUUGCUUUGAGUACAACAAGCUUCAAUACACAGGGUUGUGUUAUCUCACUGUAUAAAUAUUCUUCCUGUUCAUAACGUACAUGUGACAAUGACAACUCCUUUGAUCAUUCUACAGGUAGAUAUUUUUCCUCCCAUAAGACUCAAAACAUAAAAUAAUUUAUAAUAAUCUAUAGAAAAGCUUAAACUAGGGCAUCACUUCCUCUUCCUUUCCAACUCAGGUGUUUCACGGUCAAGGUCAUCAUCCAUUCUUCCAAGCCAUUCUUCCAGGAUCAUCCAGAAUCAUUUGGCAAUAUAGUUACAUUAAUCUUAUGAGGACUUCCAUCUCAUUGGAAUAUGGUACUUUGCAUAUGUUUUACUAAACUUAUUAUUUCUUUGAUACCACUUUGAAUCGUACUUAAAAUGCUCAGGCACAGAGAAUCCUGGGCUGCUGGGGAUGGAAACCACAGAAGAUGGGGAAACAAAAGUAAGAAGGUUUGAGCUGGAUGAUUUCUGAGGCAGAGAGAGGUUAAACUGAUAAGUUUCAAGGCUACCUGUCAAAUUGGUGGCAGAGCUGAGAUGAGAACCCCAGUGUCCAGACUUCUUUCAGGAUUCUGUUCAUUGCAACAUGUCUGGACAUGCAUUUGUUUAAUGUGUGGCCGGAUGGAGUUUUCUUCUAACCCCUUUCUCCUUCCUUUUGCAUCCCUGGCAGGGAGGGGAUCUUUGGUUACAUGGGGGGAAGGCCCAGAGGCUUUGUUAGCAGAGACCCCUGACUCAAGAUGAAGACCAUGGCCAUGGUCAGAGAAAGGUGCCCUGGUCCGGGAUGUAUGGGUAGAACCUACUUCUGUCUCUGGGGUUGGGGCCAGAAGUAAUGGGCAUCCCUACCCCAAGGACACUGGAGCGCAGCUCCAGGCUGGGGUGGCGUCCCAGGGGUCCAGAGGGGUCCAGAGGCAUGUGGGGGAGGGAGAGAGGCCAGCGGGCCAUUAAGGAAAGGUGCUCUGUGAGGUAGACCCUGGGUAGAUGGAAAGGUGGUCUCGCGAGCGACGGCUCUGUGUACAUUUGGAUCUGUUUGAAAUGGAGUGGAGAGCUUGGCGGUCAGCGUAUGAUGAGCACACUGGGGACCAGGUCCUGUGUGAAGGUCUCCAGGAGCAGAAGUCAGGAGCUCCACUUUCAAGUUUCUAACCUCAGAGGUGGAUGUGGCGAGGCACCAGAUUUAGCCCCUUAACCUUCCAUGCUUUGUAUUUUCUGACUUUGCCCCCUUUCAAUCGGCUUGACACCUGGCUCGAGAUUCAGUUCACACAACCUUGAAUAACUUUUUAGAGCCUUAGUUUCCUUGCUGGCCACCUAGAGCUUCUUCCUGUCUCUAAAAAAUUAGAAAUAACCCACUUGGAAAGUAUAACUCGAAUGAAAGGAGCUGAAGAACAUGGCGUCAAUCAGAUCCCAGCAUGACCUUAUCCAAGGAAAGAGUGCGUCUUUCAGAAGGAGAACCAGCCAUACUGGAAGCAGAGGGAAAGGACCCAGGGAGCAGACACUGAUGUCUAGUCUCUCUAGGGAGAGUCCCUCGCCAGGGACCGUCAUCUCCAGCACUGACGAUGCCCUGUUAUGGGAACAAGAACACUUGACAUCAGGACACAUUCAAGCCAGGACACGUUCAAUUCCCCCUGCUCUGGCUCUGGGCUCACCAAGCAAACUUCUGGUUAUAAUUUGGCUUCCCGUGUAAUUUGCCUGCAAGGAGCAGAUGUUUGGCCAGAGGAAGUAAAUGCUGGUGCCCUAGGCAGUCGCCUUUUAUUUGAACAAUAAAUUAAU